Molecule: long non-coding RNA, 1362 nt
Filed under: Apteryx rowi (Okarito brown kiwi)
Lineage: Eukaryota; Metazoa; Chordata; Aves; Apterygiformes; Apterygidae
Description: lncRNA (ENSARWG00000008919.1)
Source: RNAcentral
AUUGAUUGCCAUGGCUGAAGUUGAAGAGACCAGAAAAACGUAAGCAAGCUGAAGUAAUGAAAUCAAAUGGAACCAACUGAGAGCCGUCUCCAUCGCCCAAAAAGGGAAAGCCCGUUCCUCCUGGCGAGGAAGGAUCACCAUUAAUAGUGAUCGGAAUAAUAGAUCACCAACAUAUAAGGUCUGAAGGUCUGUACCCAUUACGAAAAGUAUGCUAUGUACGUAUAUUUCUGCACGUGUGACUUUAUGUGUCUACGAGGCAUCAUGCUUUAAGAGCUACAAGACAGCAAACUAUUAUCUUAGGGGAAUGGUGGUCAAGUGGCCAGAGUCUUUGAAGAGACAGAAGUGUCCGAACUGUAAAAUUAAGAGAUCGCUUUCAGGAAGGCUCGGUUAGCACGCCCUCAGGUUAAUUAAUCCUCACAUCCCCUUUGGGGCCAGAACAGAAAUUUUCCGGCUGCGAGAAAGACUGUUUAGCAGCAACGUGGUCUGUAACUGUCUUUGAGACUUUUCCCUUUGAGAGCACCGAGGCAAUCCCAUCUGCUCAAUUCCCUCUGUAGUAGCUAAUGUCAGGGAAGCAAAUAGACAGCGGCGUAUCAUCUAUCCAAGUGGUGCAGGGGGCACUAAUCUUAACGAGCGGAGUGGGGGGGUUACUGUUCAAACAUUACAAGAAGUGGAUCUUCUUGUGCGUGUCUGAAUUGACAGAGCACGGUUGUGCCAAAAAUGUGGACGUGGAAGGUUUCUGAAAGAUUAAKCUCUAGCAGCUACUUAGUCUAACUUCCCCUUCACAGCAAGCCCGACUGUCGUUGUAGCUUCCAAAAGAGGGGUUGGGGGAAGCAGUAUUUGUGGCUUGUGUGUUCUCGUUUGCCUUGCUUGUGUGCAUGUAUAGAGAUCCGUUUUUUGUGCUAAUAAACAACUUUGAAUUCUUAUGAUUCUCUGCAGAGCUUUGAAUGGUUUUUUUGUUUUGUGCUUUGCUUUAUACUUUUGUAGGGCGAUGGAUUUUUACUAUGCCUCCAUCAACAAGCGCUGGCUGGCAAAGUUACGUCAUGUCCCAACUGAGACUCUUAGGCAAGACGGAGGAGUUCAGGAGUUCAGAACAUCGGGGAACGACUAUGUGCUGCCAUGAAGAACUACAGGCUACUGUCCUCAGCCCUUUGUAAGUUAUCAGGCGUCAAGAGCGGCCAGGAGACUCCAAAUACCAGCGGAAAGGUUCUCUGCCCGGUGCUGGCGAGGUGCCUUCAGCCGUAGGAGGGUCGGCCGUGUCCUUACCGGACUUGUGAGUAAUAAGCCGCAGUUCACGGACCAGCAAAGGAGGGGGGGGAAACAGCAACCGGUAGCCCAGUGGCUACGGCAUUGCUGUUGCUAGCA